AGCGAACGCUGGCGGCAGGCCUAACACAUGCAAGUCGAACGGAUCCUUCGGGAUUAGUGGCGGACGGGUGAGUAACACGUGGGAACGUGCCCUUUGGUUCGGAACAACUCAGGGAAACUUGAGCUAAUACCGGAUGUGCCCUUCGGGGGAAAGAUUUAUCGCCAUUGGAGCGGCCCGCGUCUGAUUAGCUAGUUGGUGAGGUAAAGGCUCACCAAGGCGACGAUCAGUAGCUGGUCUGAGAGGAUGAUCAGCCACAUUGGGACUGAGACACGGCCCAAACUCCUACGGGAGGCAGCAGUGGGGAAUCUUGCGCAAUGGGCGAAAGCCUGACGCAGCCAUGCCGCGUGAAUGAUGAAGGUCUUAGGAUUGUAAAAUUCUUUCACCGGAGACGAUAAUGACGGUACCCGGAGAAGAAGCCCCGGCUAACUUCGUGCCAGCAGCCGCGGUAA
This 449-nucleotide ribosomal RNA is filed under the name uncultured bacterium. Its description in RNAcentral is "partial 16S ribosomal RNA". It matches the Rfam family "Bacterial small subunit ribosomal RNA", at positions 29 to 523 of the family's 1533-position model. The record is from RNAcentral.